GCGGGUGUGGCGGAAUUGGCAGACGCGCUAGAUUUAGGUUCUAGUGUCUUAGUGACGUGGGGGUUCAAGUCCCUUCACCCGUA
This is a transfer RNA of 83 nucleotides. It matches the Rfam family "tRNA". Rfam says of the family: Transfer RNA (tRNA) molecules are approximately 80 nucleotides in length. Their secondary structure includes four short double-helical elements and three loops (D, anti-codon, and T loops). Further hydrogen bonds mediate the characteristic L-shaped molecular structure. tRNAs have two regions of fundamental functional importance: the anti-codon, which is responsible for specific mRNA codon recognition, and the 3' end, to which the tRNAs corresponding amino acid is attached (by aminoacyl-tRNA synthetases). tRNAs cope with the degeneracy of the genetic code in two manners: having more than one tRNA (with a specific anti-codon) for a particular amino acid; and 'wobble' base-pairing, i.e. permitting non-standard base-pairing at the 3rd anti-codon position. The record is from Rfam.